GGCAUUACCUCAGUAACGGCGAGUGAAGCGGUAAUAGCUCAAAUUUGAAAUCUGGCCCUUUCAGGGUCCGAGUUGUAAUUUGCAGAGGGCGCUUUGGAGUCGGCAGCAGCCUAAGUUCCUUGGAACAGGUCAUCAUAGAGGGUGAGAAUCCCGUAUGUGGCUGCUUGCCUUCGCCGUGUAAAGCCCCUUCGAUGAGUCGAGUUGUUUGGGAAUGCAGCUCUAAAUGGGAGGUAAAUUUCUUCUAAAGCUAAAUAUUGGCCAGAGACCGAUAGCGCACAAGUAGAGUGAUCGAAAGAUGAAAAGCACUUUGGAAAGAGAGUCAAAAAGCACGUGAAAUUGUUGAAAGGGAAGCGCUUGCAGCCAGACGUGCCCGCAGUUGCUCAUCUGGGGUUCUCCCCAGUGCACUCUUCUGUGGGCAGGCCAGCAUCAGUUCGGGCGGUUGGAGAAAGACCUGUGUCACGUAGCUCUCUUCGGGGAGUGUUAUAGGGCAGGUGGAAUGCAACCAGCCUGAACUGAGGUCCGCGCAUCUGCUAGGAUGCUGGCGUAAUGGCUGUAAGCGGCCCGUCUUGAAACACGGACCAAGGAGUCUAACAUCUAUGCGAGUGUUUGGGUGUCAAGCCCGAACGCGUAAUGAAAGUGAACGGAGGUGGGAACCCCUCGGGGUGCACCAUCGACCGAUCCUGAUGUCUUCGGAUGGAUUUGAGUAAGAGCAUAGCUGUUGGGACCCGAAAGAUGGUGAACUAUGCCUGAAUAGGGUGAAGCCAGAGGAAACUCUGGUGGAGGCUCGCAGCGGUUCUGACGUGCAAAUCGAUCGUCAAAUUUGGGCAUAGGGGCGAAAGACUAAUCGAACUAUCUAGUAGCUGGUUCCUGCCGAAGUUUCCCUCAGGAUAGCAGUAACGUUUUCAGUUUUAUGAGGUAAAGCGAAUGAUUAGAGGCCUGGGGGUUGAAACAACCUUCACCUAUUCUCAAACUUUAAAUAUGUAAGAAGUCCUUGUUUCUUAAUUGAACGUGGACA
This 1015-nucleotide ribosomal RNA is filed under the name Seifertia azaleae. Its description in RNAcentral is "partial 28S ribosomal RNA". It matches the Rfam family "Eukaryotic large subunit ribosomal RNA", at positions 71 to 1107 of the family's 3401-position model. The record is from RNAcentral. Lineage: Eukaryota; Fungi; Ascomycota; Dothideomycetes; Pleosporales; Melanommataceae.